UAGGGAAUCUUCCGCAAUGGACGCACGUCUGACGGAGCAACGCCGCGUGAGUGAAGAAGGAUUUCGGUUCGUAAAACUCUGUUGUUAGAGAAGAACAGCGCAUAGAGUAACUGUUAUGCGUGUGACGGUAUCUAACCAGAAAGCCACGGCUAACUACGUGCCAGCAGCCGCGGUAAUACGCAGGUGGCAAGCGUUGUCCGGAUUUAUUGGGCGUAAAGCGAGCGCAGGCGGUCAAUUAAGUCUGAUGUGAAAGCCCCCGGCUCAACCGGGGAGGGUGAUUGGAAACUGGUUGACUUGAGUGCAGAAGAGGGGAGUGGAAUUCCAUGUGUAACGGUGGAAUGCGUAGAUAUAUGGAGGAACACCAGUGGCGAAGGCGACUCUCUGGUCUGUAACUGACGCUGAGGCUCGAAAGCGUGGGUAGCAAACAGG
Molecule: ribosomal RNA, 429 nt
Filed under: Bacteroidota bacterium
Lineage: Bacteria; Pseudomonadati; Bacteroidota
Description: Bacteroidetes bacterium partial 16S ribosomal RNA
Rfam family: Bacterial small subunit ribosomal RNA
Source: RNAcentral